RNAcentral lists this ribosomal RNA (465 nucleotides) under uncultured bacterium. Its description in RNAcentral is "partial 16S ribosomal RNA". It matches the Rfam family "Bacterial small subunit ribosomal RNA", at positions 28 to 507 of the family's 1533-position model. The record is from RNAcentral.
GACGAACGCUGGCGGCGUGCUUAACACAUGCAAGUCGAACGGAAAGGCCCCGUUGGGGGUACUCGAGUGGCGAACGGGCGAGUAACACGUGAGUAACCUGCCCUUGACUUCGGGAUAACUUCAGGAAACUGGGGCUAAUACCGGAUAGGAAUCCUUGCUGCAUGGAGGGGGGUGGAAAGCUUCGGCGGUUUUGGGUGGACUCGCGGCUUAUCAGCUUGUUGGUGGGGUUGUGGCUUACCAAGGCUUUGACGGGUAGGCGGCCUGAGGGGGCGAACGGCCACAUUGGGACUGAGAUACGGCCCAGGCUCCUACGGGGGGCAGCAGUGGGGAAUAAUGCACCAUGGGCGGGAGCCUGAUGCAGGCACGCCGCGUGCGGGAUGACGGCCUUCGGGUUGUAAACCGCUUUCAGCAGGGGCGAAGCUUGUGGUGACGGUACCUGCAGAAGAAGCACCGGCUAACUACGUG